CUACGGGAGGCAGCAGUGGGGAAUAUUGCACAAUGGGCGAAAGCCUGAUGCAGCCAUGCCGCGUGUGUGAAGAAGGCUCUAGGGUUGUAAAGCACUUUCAGCAGGGAGGAAAGGGUGUAAGCUAAUACCUUGCAUCUGUGACGUUACCUGCAGAAGAAGCACCGGCUAACUCCGUGCCAGCAGCCGCGGUAAUACGGAGGGUGCGAGCGUUAAUCGGAAUUACUGGGCGUAAAGCGCGCGUAGGCGGUCUGUUAAGCUGGAUGUGAAAGCCCAGGGCUCAACCUUGGAACUGCAUUCAGAACUGGCAGGCUAGAGUAUUGGAGAGGUGAGUGGAAUUUCCCGUGUAGCAGUGAAAUGCGUAGAUAUGGGAAGGAACACCAGUGGCGAAGGCGACUCACUGGCCAAAUACUGACGCUGAGGUGCGAAAGCGUGGGGAGCAAACGGGAUUAGAUACCCCGGUAGUCCACGCCGUAAACGAUGUCUACUAGCCGUUGGCCUCCUUGAGGGGUUAGUGGCGCAGCUAACGCACUAAGUAGACCGCCUGGGGAGUACGGCCGCAAGGUUAAAACUCAAAU
RNAcentral lists this ribosomal RNA (575 nucleotides) under uncultured bacterium. RNAcentral's name for it is "bacterial SSU rRNA". It matches the Rfam family "Bacterial small subunit ribosomal RNA", at positions 339 to 906 of the family's 1533-position model. The record is from RNAcentral.